CCUACGGGUGGCAGCAGUGGGGAAUAUUGGACAAUGGGCGAAAGCCUGAUCCAGCCAUGCCGCGUGUGUGAGGAAGGCCUUCGGGUUGUAAAGCACUUUCAGUGGGGAAGAAAGCCUUGGGGCUAAUACCCUCGAGGAAGGACAUCACCCACAGAAGAAGCACCGGCUAACUCCGUGCCAGCAGCCGCGGUAAUACGGAGGGUGCGAGCGUUAAUCGGAAUUACUGGGCGUAAAGCGCGCGUAGGCGGUCUGAUAAGCCGGUUGUGAAAGCCCCGGGCUCAACCUGGGAACGGCAUCCGGAACUGUCAGGCUAGAGUGUAGGAGAGGAAGGUAGAAUUCCCGGUGUAGCGGUGAAAUGCGUAGAGAUCGGGAGGAAUACCAGUGGCGAAGGCGGCCUUCUGGACUGACACUGACGCUGAGGUGCGAAAGCGUGGGUAGCAAACAGGAUUAGAUACCCCAGUAGUC
RNAcentral lists this ribosomal RNA (465 nucleotides) under Vreelandella stevensii. RNAcentral describes it as "partial 16S ribosomal RNA". It matches the Rfam family "Bacterial small subunit ribosomal RNA", at positions 338 to 795 of the family's 1533-position model. The record is from RNAcentral. Lineage: Bacteria; Pseudomonadati; Pseudomonadota; Gammaproteobacteria; Oceanospirillales; Halomonadaceae.